UGGGGAAUAUUGGACAAUGGGCGCAAGCCUGAUCCAGCAAUGCCGCGUGUGUGAAGAAGGCCUUCGGGUUGUAAAGCACUUUUAUCAGGAGCGAAACGCUGUCGGCUAAUACCCGGCGGAACUGACGGUACCUGAGGAAUAAGCACCGGCUAACUUCGUGCCAGCAGCCGCGGUAAUACGAAGGGUGCAAGCGUUAAUCGGAAUUACUGGGCGUAAAGCGUGCGUAGGCGGUUUCUUAAGUCUGCUGUGAAAUCCCCGGGCUCAACCUGGGAAUGGCAGUGGAUACUGGGAGGCUAGAGUGUGUCAGAGGGUGGUGGAAUUCCCGGUGUAGCGGUGAAAUGCGUAGAGAUCGGGAGGAACAUCAGUGGCGAAGGCGGCCACCUGGGACAACACUGACGCUGAGGCACGAAAGCGUGGGGAGCAAAGCAGGAUUAGAUACCCUGGUAGUCCACGCCCUAAAAGCGAUGCGAACUGGAUGUUGGUCUCAACUCGGAGAUCAGUGUCGAAGCUAACGCGUUAAGUUC
This 524-nucleotide ribosomal RNA is filed under the name uncultured bacterium. Its description in RNAcentral is "partial 16S ribosomal RNA". It matches the Rfam family "Bacterial small subunit ribosomal RNA", at positions 355 to 867 of the family's 1533-position model. The record is from RNAcentral.